GAACCAAUCAAGUUCCAGGAGGAGUGAUGAAUAUCAUAAAUGUGACGUAUUCAUUGUGUUCAGGCUUCAAGGUGACGGGUCACGUGGACGCGGAGGGGCGGAGUCUGGUCCACGUCAGCGAGGUGGACGCGGAGGGACAGUCGGCCAGAGGAGGCCUCAGGGCGGGAGACCAGGUCCUGGCGGUGAACGGGGCCGGUGUGUCCGGACUGGACCUGGACCUGAUGCAGAGCCUCUUCAGCCACCAGAAGCUCACGCUGCGGCUCCAGAGGGACCGGGAGCCCGCUGGCCCCCUGGACCUCCAGACCUGGACCAGCAUCGAACCUGAGCUUGAUUCCACAGACGUCCCGUUUCCUGUUUGUGACGACGAGCUGCGAAGACAGGUGAGCUUUACCUGUUCAGUGUGUGUGUGUGUGUGUGUGUGUGUGUGUGUGUGUGUGUCUGUGUGUGUGUGUGUGUGUGUGUGUGUGUGUGUGUUGCGUGUGUGAUAGUGGGAAUCUGUGUGAGAGUGAAGACAAAGACGUUCUGUCUCGCUCGGCUUUAAACUGUGUUUUAUUUUGAAAGGAUAG
RNAcentral lists this long non-coding RNA (566 nucleotides) under Cyclopterus lumpus (lumpfish). Its description in RNAcentral is "lncRNA (ENSCLMG00005010193.1)". The record is from RNAcentral. Lineage: Eukaryota; Metazoa; Chordata; Actinopteri; Perciformes; Cyclopteridae.